CAGAAACAGAGGAAUUUCAGGCUUCAGGAUUUCAGAGGCCAAAUUCCAUCUGGCCUAGUCUGCCUGGCUCACGAUAAGAAAACCGAAGUUCACCAAAGUAAAGUGACUUGUCCAAGACCUCACAGCUAUCAAGUAGAGAAACUGGGAUUUGGAUGCAGGUCUGUCUGACUCCAGACACCGCGAUCUUAACCAUCGAGGCAGAGUUUCUACCUUUUAGGAAUUUCCAAAUAGAGGAGACAACCUCAGGACUUGAACAAUGCAGAAACACAGUCAAAAAUACAAAGAGCUAGGGAGUGAUGCCUAUAUUGUGCUGUGAGGGUUAAUAUCGCUUCCUGUCAAAGGACAAUCUAAGGGAGGUGAUAUUUGUUAAUAUACAAGGUUUUUUUUAAAAGAAGGGGUCAGCUUUGAACACAGUAGUGAUCGCAACUGGGGAGAAGAGCAACCAGGAAGAGGAUAUAUCAUAAGCAAAAGCACUGGUGUGGGAAAGAAUAGGGAUUUGGUGGGAAGUGUGAACGAUACCACUGGUUGGUGUGAAAAUACAGGCAAAC
This 548-nucleotide long non-coding RNA is filed under the name Homo sapiens (human). Its description in RNAcentral is "non-protein coding LINC02423:9". Lineage: Eukaryota; Metazoa; Chordata; Mammalia; Primates; Hominidae. The record is from RNAcentral.